This 424-nucleotide ribosomal RNA is filed under the name uncultured prokaryote. Its description in RNAcentral is "bacterial SSU rRNA". It matches the Rfam family "Bacterial small subunit ribosomal RNA", at positions 355 to 796 of the family's 1533-position model. The record is from RNAcentral.
UGGGGAAUCUUAGACAAUGGGGGAAACCCUGAUCUAGCCAUGCCGCGUGAACGAUGAAGGCCCUAGGGUUGUAACGUUCUUUCAGCGGGGAAGAUAAUGACGGUACCCGCAGAAGAAGCCCCGGCUAACUCCGUGCCAGCAGCCGCGGUAAUACGGAGGGGGCUAGCGUUGUUCGGAAUUACUGGGCGUAAAGCGCACGUCGGCGGAUCAGUCAGUCAGGGGUGAAAUCCCGGGGCUCUACCCCGGAUCUGCCUUUGAUUCUCCUGGUCUGGAGUCCGAGAGAGGUGAGUGGAAUUCCGAGUGUAGAGGUGAAAUUCGUAGAUAUUCGGAGGAACACCAGUGGCGAAGGCGGCUCACGGGCUCGGUACUGACGCUGAGGUGCGAAAGCGUGGGGAGCAAACAGGAUUAGAUACCCGUGUAGUCC